RNAcentral lists this ribosomal RNA (527 nucleotides) under uncultured bacterium. RNAcentral's name for it is "bacterial SSU rRNA". It matches the Rfam family "Bacterial small subunit ribosomal RNA", at positions 61 to 599 of the family's 1533-position model. The record is from RNAcentral.
GUCGAACGGGAACAGAAUGAAACCUAGUGAUUUUUGUUUUAGUGGCGGACGGGUGAGUAACGCGUGGGUAACCUGCCGUAUACAGGGGGAUAACACUUAGAAAUAGGUGCUAAUACCGCAUAAGCGCACAGCUUCGCAUGGAGCAGUGUGAAAAGCGUAAACGGUAUACGAUGGACCCGCGUCUGAUUAGCUAGUUGGCGGGGUAGAGGCCCACCAAGGCGACGAUCAGUAGCCGGCCUGAGAGGGUGACCGGCCACAUUGGGACUGAGACACGGCCCAAACUCCUACGGGAGGCAGCAGUGGGGAAUAUUGCACAAUGGGGGGAACCCUGAUGCAGCGACGCCGCGUGAGUGAAGAAGUAUUUCGGUAUGUAAAGCUCUAUCAGCAGGGAAGAAAAUGACGGUACCUGACUAAGAAGCCCCGGCUAACUACGUGCCAGCAGCCGCGGUAAUACGUAGGGGGCAAGCGUUAUCCGGAUUUACUGGGUGUAAAGGGAGCGUAGACGGUUAUGCAAGUCUGAAGUGAAA